GGAGUAACCUGCCCUGGAGACAAGGACAACCCCGGGAAACCUGGGAUUAAUCCUUGAUAGGUCAUCUCAUCUGGAAGGAGAGAUGGCUUAAAGGGGUACGCGGGCUUCUUCCGCGAAUCCGCUCCAGGAUGGGACUGCGUCCGAUCAGGCUGUUGGCGGGGUAAUGGCCCACCAAACCUGUAACCGGUACGGGCCUUGAGAGAGGUGGCCCGGAGAUGGACACUGAGAGAAGGGUCCAGGUCCUACGGGGCGCAGCAGGCGCGAAACCUUCGCAAUGCGCGAAAGCGUGACGAGGUUAAUCCGAGUGACUUCCGCUGAGGAGGUCUUUUGUCAGCUGUAAAUAGGCAGGCGAAUAAGGGGAGGGCAAGCCUGGUGUCAGCCGCCGCGGUAAUACCAGCUCCUCGAGUGGUCGGGGCGAUUAUUGGGCCUAAAGCAUCCGUAGCCGGUUCCGUAGGUCCUCUGUUAAAUCCAACCGCUUAACGGUUGACCUGCAGAGGAUACCGCGGGACUAGNAGGCGGGAGAGGCGGACGGUACUCC
This 538-nucleotide ribosomal RNA is filed under the name uncultured archaeon. RNAcentral describes it as "bacterial SSU rRNA". It matches the Rfam family "Archaeal small subunit ribosomal RNA", at positions 100 to 621 of the family's 1478-position model. The record is from RNAcentral.